UACGGAGGGUGCAAGCGUUAUCCGGAAUCACUGGGUUUAAAGGGUGCGUAGGCGGCUUGAUAAGUCAGAGGUGAAAGCCCGCAGCUUAACUGCGGAACUGCCUUUGAUACUGUUGAGCUUGAAACAGGACGAGGUUGGCGGAAUGUGGCAUGUAGCGGUGAAAUGCAUAGAUAUGCCAUAGAACACCGAUUGCGAAGGCAGCUGGCUAGACCUGAUUUGACGCUGAGGCACGAAAGCGUGGGGAGCGAAC
RNAcentral lists this ribosomal RNA (250 nucleotides) under uncultured bacterium. Its description in RNAcentral is "partial 16S ribosomal RNA". It matches the Rfam family "Bacterial small subunit ribosomal RNA", at positions 524 to 773 of the family's 1533-position model. The record is from RNAcentral.